This 507-nucleotide ribosomal RNA is filed under the name uncultured bacterium. Its description in RNAcentral is "bacterial SSU rRNA". It matches the Rfam family "Bacterial small subunit ribosomal RNA", at positions 28 to 530 of the family's 1533-position model. The record is from RNAcentral.
GAUGAACGCUAGCGGGAGGCUUAAUACAUGCAAGUCGAACGGUAACAGGCGUAGCAAUACGUGCUGACGAGUGGCGCACGGGUGAGGAACACGUACGCAAUCUGCCUCUGACUGGGGGAUAGCUCCGGGAAACUGGGAUUAAUACCCCGUAACAUUACGGAAGGGCAUCCUUCUGUGAUUAAACCUCCGGGGGUCAGAGAUGAGCGUGCGUCUGAUUAGGUAGUUGGUAGGGUAACGGCCUACCAAGCCAACGAUCAGUAGCUGGCGUGAGAGCGCGACCAGCCACACGGGAACUGAGACACGGUCCCGACUCCUACGGGAGGCAGCAGUAGGGAAUAUUGGACAAUGGCUGAAAAGCUGAUCCAGCCAUCCCGCGUGAAGGCAGAAGGUCCUAUGGAUUGUAAACUUCUUUUCUCUGGGAAGAAAAGGCGGGUUUCUACCUGCUCUGACGGUACCAGAGGAAUAAGCACCGGCUAACUCCGUGCCAGCAGCCGCGGUAAUACGGGA